GAUGAAGAACGUAGCGAAAUGCGAUAAGUAAUGUGAAUUUCAGAAUUCAGUGAAUCAUCGAAUCUUUGAACGCACAUUGCGCCCGCUAGUAUUCUGGCGGGCAUGCCUGUCCGAGCGUCAUUUCGACCCUCAAGCCCCCGGGCUUGGUGUUGGGGAUCGGCGAGCCUCCGCGCCCGCCGUCCCCUAAAUCUAGUGGCGGUCUCGCUGUAGCUUCCUCUGCGUAGUAGCACACCUCGCACUGGGAAACANCGCGGCCACGCCGUUAAACCCCCAACUUCUGAACGUUUGACCUCGGAUCAGGUAGGAAUACCCGCUGAACUUAAGCAUAUCAAUAAGCGGAGGA
Molecule: unclassified non-coding RNA, 343 nt
Filed under: soil metagenome
Description: partial contains 5.8S ribosomal RNA, internal transcribed spacer 2, and large subunit ribosomal RNA
Rfam family: 5.8S ribosomal RNA (bases 1-120)
Source: RNAcentral